CCUACGGGAGGCUGCAGUAGGGAAUAUUGCUCAAUGGGGGAAACCCUGAAGCAGCAACGCCGCGUGAAGGAUGAAGGUUUUCGGAUUGUAAAGUUCUGUUGUUAGGGAAGAUAAUGACGGUAUCUAACGAAUAAGCACCGGCUAACUCCGUGCCAGCAGCCGCGGUAAUACGGAGGGGGCAAGCGUUACCCGGAAUGACUGGGCGUAAAGCGCGCGUAGGCGGUAUGGCAAGUCAGAUGUGAAAUCCUCUGGCUUAACCAUGGAACUGCAUUUGAAACUGGUAGUCUAGAGUAUGGGAGAGGUAGGUGGAAUUCUAGGUGUAGGGGUAAAAUCCGUAGAGAUCAGGAGGAACAC
This 354-nucleotide ribosomal RNA is filed under the name uncultured bacterium. Its description in RNAcentral is "partial 16S ribosomal RNA". It matches the Rfam family "Bacterial small subunit ribosomal RNA", at positions 338 to 709 of the family's 1533-position model. The record is from RNAcentral.